Molecule: ribosomal RNA, 911 nt
Filed under: Coccidioides posadasii
Lineage: Eukaryota; Fungi; Ascomycota; Eurotiomycetes; Onygenales; Onygenaceae
Description: LSU rRNA
Rfam family: Eukaryotic large subunit ribosomal RNA
Source: RNAcentral
GCAUAUCAAUAAGCGGAGGAAAAGAAACCAACAGGGAUUGCCUCAGUAACGGCGAAGUGAAGCGGCAAAAGCUCAAAUUUGAAAUCUGGCUCCAUGCGGAGCCCGAGUUGUAAUUUGGAGAGGACACUUCGGGUGCGGCCACGGCAUAAGUUCCUUGGAACAGGACGUCAUAGAGGGUGAGAAUCCCGUCUUUGGCUGCUGGACCGCGCCCAUGCGAAGUUCCUUCGACGAGUCGAGUUGUUUGGGAAUGCAGCUCUAAGUGGGUGGUAAAUUUCAUCUAAAGCUAAAUAUUGGCCGGAGACCGAUAGCGCACAAGUAGAGUGAUCGAAAGGUUAAAAGCACCUUGAAAAGGGAGUUAAAUAGCACGUGAAAUUGUUGAAAGGGAAGCGCUUGCAACCAGACUCGGUCGUGGGGGCUCAGCGGGCAUGCGUGCCCGUGUACUCCCCCAUGCUCCGGGCCAGCAUCAGUUCUGGCGGUUGGUUAAAGGCCUCUGGAAUGUAUCGUCCUCCGGGACGUCUUAUAGCCAGGGGCGCAAUGCGGCCAGCCGGGACUGAGGAACGCGCUUCGGCACGGAUGCUGGCAUAAUGGUUGUAAGCGGCCCGUCUUGAAACACGGACCAAGGAGUCUAACAUCCACGCGAGUGUUCGGGUGUCAAACCCGUGCGCGCAGUGAAAGCGAACGGAGGUGGGAGCCCGCAAGGGUGCACCAUCGACCGAUCCUGAAGUCUUCGGAUGGAUUUGAGUAAGAGCGUGGCUGUUGGGACCCGAAAGAUGGUGAACUAUGCCUGAAUAGGGUGAAGCCAGAGGAAACUCUGGUGGAGGCUCGCAGCGGUUCUGACGUGCAAAUCGAUCGUCAAAUUUGGGUAUAGGGGCGAAAGACUAAUCGAACCAUCUGGUAGCUGGUUCCUGCGA